RNAcentral lists this ribosomal RNA (253 nucleotides) under uncultured bacterium. Its description in RNAcentral is "partial 16S ribosomal RNA". It matches the Rfam family "Bacterial small subunit ribosomal RNA", at positions 524 to 776 of the family's 1533-position model. The record is from RNAcentral.
UACGGGGGGGGCAAGCGUUGUUCGGAAUUACUGGGCGUAAAGGGCUCGUAGGCGGCCAACUAAGUCAGACGUGAAAUCCCUCGGCUUAACCGGGGAACUGCGUCUGAUACUGGAUGGCUUGAGUUUGGGAGAGGGAUGCGGAAUUCCAGGUGUAGCGGUGAAAUGCGCAGAUAUCAGGAGGAACACCAAUGGCGAAGGCAGCUCGCUGGGACGUGACUGACGCUGAGACGCGAAAGCGUGGGGAGCAAACAGG